GACGAACGCUGGCGGCGUGCCUAAUACAUGCAAGUCGAACGCUUCUUUCCUCCCGAGUGCUUGCACUCAAUUGGAAAGAGGAGUGGCGGACGGGUGAGUAACACGUGGGUAACCUACCCAUCAGAGGGGGAUAACACUUGGAAACAGGUGCUAAUACCGCAUAACAGUUUAUGCCGCAUGGCAUAAGAGUGAAAGGCGCUUUCGGGUGUCGCUGAUGGAUGGACCCGCGGUGCAUUAGCUAGUUGGUGAGGUAGCGGCUCACCAAGGCCACGAUGCAUAGCCGACCUGAGAGGGUGAUCGGCCUCACUGGGACUGAGCCACGGCCCAGACUCCUACGGGAGGCAGCAGUAGGGAAUCUUCGGCAAUGGACGAAAGUCUGACCGAGCAACGCCGCGUGAGUGAAGAAGGUUUUCGGAUCGUAAAACUCUGUUGUUAGUGAAGAACAAGGACGUUAGUAACUGAACGUCCCCUGACGGUAUCUAACCAGAAAGCCACGGCUAACUACGUG
RNAcentral lists this ribosomal RNA (508 nucleotides) under uncultured bacterium. RNAcentral's name for it is "partial 16S ribosomal RNA". It matches the Rfam family "Bacterial small subunit ribosomal RNA", at positions 28 to 507 of the family's 1533-position model. The record is from RNAcentral.